RNAcentral lists this ribosomal RNA (698 nucleotides) under Virgibacillus halodenitrificans. RNAcentral describes it as "bacterial SSU rRNA". It matches the Rfam family "Bacterial small subunit ribosomal RNA", at positions 53 to 719 of the family's 1533-position model. The record is from RNAcentral. Lineage: Bacteria; Bacillati; Bacillota; Bacilli; Caryophanales; Bacillaceae.
ACAUGCAGUCGAGCGCGGGAGCAGCUGAUCCUCUUCGGAGGUGACGCUUGUGGAACGAGCGGCGGACGGGUGAGUAACACGUGGGCAACCUGCCUGUAAGACUGGGAUAACCCCGGGAAACCGGGGCUAAUACCGGAUAAUACUUUUCAUCACCUGAUGGGAAGUUGAAAGGUGGCUUUUAGCUACCACUUACAGAUGGGCCCGCGGCGCAUUAGCUAGUUGGUGAGGUAACGGCUCACCAAGGCAACGAUGCGUAGCCGACCUGAGAGGGUGAUCGGCCACACUGGGACUGAGACACGGCCCAGACUCCUACGGGAGGCAGCAGUAGGGAAUCUUCCGCAAUGGACGAAAGUCUGACGGAGCAACGCCGCGUGAGUGAUGAAGGUUUUCGGAUCGUAAAGCUCUGUUGUUAGGGAAGAACAAGUGCCGUUCGAAUAGGGCGGCACCUUGACGGUACCUAACCAGAAAGCCCCGGCUAACUACGUGCCAGCAGCCGCGGUAAUACGUAGGGGGCAAGCGUUGUCCGGAAUUAUUGGGCGUAAAGCGCGCGCAGGCGGUCCUUUAAGUCUGAUGUGAAAGCCCACGGCUCAACCGUGGAGGGUCAUUGGAAACUGGAGGACUUGAGUACAGAAGAGGAGAGUGGAAUUCCACGUGUAGCGGUGAAAUGCGUAGAGAUGUGGAGGAACACCAGUGGCGAA